This 88-nucleotide transfer RNA is filed under the name Colletotrichum sublineola. RNAcentral's name for it is "tRNA-Glu". It matches the Rfam family "tRNA". Rfam says of the family: Transfer RNA (tRNA) molecules are approximately 80 nucleotides in length. Their secondary structure includes four short double-helical elements and three loops (D, anti-codon, and T loops). The record is from RNAcentral. Lineage: Eukaryota; Fungi; Ascomycota; Sordariomycetes; Glomerellales; Glomerellaceae. RNAcentral also lists the same sequence under 1 other name.
UCCGAUAUGGUGUAGUGGCCAACAUGAUGCCCUCUCAUCUUUGUUGAGAGGUUAGGCAUAGCCCCGAGUUCGAUUCUCGGUUUCGGAA